CACCCUGAAAUAUAUCAGUUCAAC
Molecule: small nuclear RNA, 24 nt
Filed under: Arabidopsis thaliana (thale cress)
Lineage: Eukaryota; Viridiplantae; Streptophyta; Magnoliopsida; Brassicales; Brassicaceae
Description: snRNA_19018
Source: RNAcentral